CCUAACUAAUUACAACACCAGCAACACGAGAUACAUACUAAACUAUAAGACUAAGCCUCAUCUUGUAUGAAUUAGACAACAAAAAGAGUAAAUUAAAAGCACUUCCUACACUGGAUCUAAUGCAGGAAAAUAUGUAAUUCUCUUUUUGUGUGUGCACAAAUACAAAUACAUAUUUCGACACACAAAAAUGACUUCAGUUCUUAUUUCUUCAAGCAUUUUGAUGAUUGGUUUGCCUCUAGCUUCUAGAAUCCAAUAUUCACCGAUUCUGUGAAAUUGUUCACCACUUCAUAGUUCUU
Molecule: long non-coding RNA, 296 nt
Filed under: Solanum tuberosum (potato)
Lineage: Eukaryota; Viridiplantae; Streptophyta; Magnoliopsida; Solanales; Solanaceae
Description: long non-coding RNA (STUB_LNC011743)
Source: RNAcentral